GGCAGCCUGGUAACCGAGGUUCCACGUGCCGGAAGUCCCUCAGGGGCUGAGCCAAGAGAGCCUAUUUUCCUUUUCUAACUUAAUGACAUAUGAAUAUUCUCUGUAGAGGAGGCUUGUGCUUAACCACGCUGCAUGAAGAACCUGUGUCGUCCAUGAGAAACGGUGAUAUCUGUCAUAACCAGAGAGAAGGCGAUUAAUAAGUGUCACUUUGUUGAUAAAGAACUCAUUAUUUUGGAAUUAGUGGACUGUUGGGAGAUAUUUUUCGGGCAGCAGCUAAGCUCUAAUUUUACAUCAAUUACAAGUCUUUACAAGCAGAAGUAACAUUGUGGAACUUCUGGAUUUAAGCCUCAACAGGACUUGGUUUCUCCUUUCAUCAUUUUGAACCGCUGCUGUUACAUUGGGAAAUCCUAGCCAGCUCGCCUGGAAGGCACAACACAUCCAACAGCCCCAAAUGUCGAGCUUGAGUGAGACUGUUCUAUACUCUCAAGCCGUCACAUGGUAGAAACCACAAGGAGAAUGAGUCAUCAGGUUGUCCAGGUGAGACAACUGCAGCUGUCUUCAAACAUACCAGAAGAGGGCAUCAGACCCCAUUACAGAUAAGGUUGUGAGCCACCAUGUGGUUGCUGAGAUUUGAACUCUGGAAGAGCAGUCAGUGCUCUUAACCACUGAGCCACCUCUCCAGCCUUACUUGCUGAGCAUUUCGAUAAAAGAAUGAAAGAUGGAGUCUUGGUGAGAAUUGGAAUAGAUGCUGGAAUGCUGUCAGUCAGAAGCAGCAUGAUCUCAUGCCCUCAUUUCUUACCCCCCAACACCUAUGUCACUAGUGCCUCUGACUCCACCUUUACACUUUACAUAAAUACAAUCCCGGCUCUUGGGUC
Molecule: non-coding RNA, 875 nt
Organism: Rattus norvegicus (Norway rat)
Lineage: Eukaryota; Metazoa; Chordata; Mammalia; Rodentia; Muridae
Source: RefSeq, a predicted model, not a curated record